This 290-nucleotide small RNA is filed under the name Paracoccus sp. 228. Its description in RNAcentral is "5' ureB small RNA". It matches the Rfam family "5' ureB small RNA". Lineage: Bacteria; Pseudomonadati; Pseudomonadota; Alphaproteobacteria; Rhodobacterales; Paracoccaceae. The record is from Rfam by way of RNAcentral.
CGUGGUCCACCUGCUGAGGGCAGAUGUAGUGGAUGUGGCAGUCGAAGCCGCCGGGCGUCAGGAUGCGUCCCUCUCCGGCGAUGAUCUCGGUCCCGGGGCCGAUGAUCAGCGACACGCCGGGCUGGAUGUCGGGGUUGCCGGCCUUGCCGAUGCCCGCGAUCAUGCCGUCGCGGAUGCCCACGUCGGCCUUGACGAUGCCCUGAUGGUCAAAGACCACGACGCCGGUGAUGACCGUGUCCAUCGCGCCGCCCGCGCGGGUGAUCUGGCUUUGGCCCAUGCCGUCGCGGACG